This 401-nucleotide transfer-messenger RNA is filed under the name Bacteroidales bacterium. It matches the Rfam family "transfer-messenger RNA". Rfam says of the family: Bacterial tmRNA, also known as 10Sa RNA or SsrA, is named for its dual tRNA and mRNA-like properties. Its role is to liberate the mRNA from a stalled ribosome. The record is from RNAcentral. Lineage: Bacteria; Pseudomonadati; Bacteroidota; Bacteroidia; Bacteroidales.
GGGGCUGACAUGGUAUUGACAGCAAAGUAAAUGUUUAUGUAAGCAUGUCGUGCAAAGUAAUAAAUCACGUAAAACUUUUGUUACAGAAAAUUAAUUGGCGCAGAAAAUUUUGCUUUCGCUGCUUAGUUGAAGUAUAGUAAACAACGCUUAAUCUCGGCACGGGUGCCCAGACGAAACAUUUCUCGAAUGACUGUUCGGUUCAGGUUCGAUAAAGGAAUGGCAACAAAUUCCGAACUAUCUGUUAUGACACUUCUAAAUAACAGAGACAUCUCAGAAGAUAAGUUAAAUUUUUGGGCGUUUGCUUCCGGAAAUUUUUCCGACAAUUAAAUAGCAAAAUAAACAUGUAGAAAACAUUCUCGUUUUUUGUUUGGACCCGGGUUCGAUUCCCGGCAGCUCCACAG